Molecule: unclassified non-coding RNA, 371 nt
Filed under: uncultured fungus
Lineage: Eukaryota; Fungi
Description: sequence contains ITS1
Rfam family: 5.8S ribosomal RNA (bases 1-105)
Source: RNAcentral
GAAACGCGAUAGUUAAUGUGAAUUGCAGAAUUUAGUGAAUCAUCGAGUCUUUGAACGCACAUUGCGCCCCCUGGUAUUCCGGAGGGCACGUCUGUUCGAGCGUCAGUGAAAACCAUUCCGGCACCGGUUUUUCGGAACCGCGCUGCCCGGGCACCUGACGGUGGAAAUGCCCCGCGAGUCCUAGCGGCCCGUGGCGCACGGCAUCCACCGUUUAAAACCGUGGGAAAUCGCAUACCGUACACGCGACGUAGUAAUUCUCGAAGAACUCGUCAACGGUUGUCGGUAAAGCAGGCCCCCUUAUCACUACAGUUUUUGUCACCAAAAACCAGACGUUUGACCUCGGAUCAGAUGAGGAUACCCGCUGAACUUAA